AAAGUACUCCCUCCAUCCCAAAAUUCUUGUCUUAUAUUUGUCUAGAUACGGAUGUAUCAAGUCUACAUCCAUAUCUAGACAAAUCUAAGACAAGAAAUUUGGGACAGAGGGAGGAGAUG
Molecule: non-coding RNA, 119 nt
Organism: Triticum aestivum (bread wheat)
Lineage: Eukaryota; Viridiplantae; Streptophyta; Magnoliopsida; Poales; Poaceae
Source: Rfam